RNAcentral lists this ribosomal RNA (344 nucleotides) under uncultured bacterium. Its description in RNAcentral is "bacterial SSU rRNA". It matches the Rfam family "Bacterial small subunit ribosomal RNA", at positions 8 to 334 of the family's 1533-position model. The record is from RNAcentral.
AGGGUUUGAUUAUGGCUCAGGAUGAACGCUGGCGGCGUGCUUAACACAUGCAAGUCGAGCGAAGCACUUAAGUUUGAUUCUUCGGAUGAAGACUUUUGUGACUGAGCGGCGGACGGGUGAGUAACGCGUGGGUAACCUGCCUCAUACAGGGGGAUAACAGUUAGAAAUGACUGCUAAUACCGCAUAAGACCACAGGGUCGCAUGACCCGGUGGUAAAAACUCCGGUGGUAUGAGAUGGACCCGCGUCUGAUUAGCUAGUUGGUGGGGUAACGGCUCACCAAGGCGACGAUCAGUAGCCGACCUGAGAGGGUGACCGGCCACAUUGGGACUGAGACACGGCCCAA